Molecule: RNA transcript, 1844 nt
Organism: Alligator sinensis (Chinese alligator)
Lineage: Eukaryota; Metazoa; Chordata; Crocodylia; Alligatoridae
Gene: GOLGA7
Gene name: golgin A7
Exons: 6
Source: RefSeq, a predicted model, not a curated record
ACGGUCCGUCCCCGUGCCCGUAAGCCCGCGCCAUGAGGCCGCAGCCGGCGCCCGUGUCAGGGAAGGUGUUCGUGCAGCGCGACUACAGCAGCGGCACCCGCUGCCAGUUCCAGACCAAGUUCCCGGCCGAGCUGGAGACGCGGAUCGAUCGGCAGCAGUUUGAAGAGACUGUGCGAACUCUGAAUAACCUAUAUGCAGAAGCCGAGAAACUUGGGGGCCAAUCUUAUCUCGAAGGUUGUCUGGCCUGCCUGACUGCCUACACUAUCUUCUUGUGCAUGGAGACACAUUAUGAAAAGGUUCUGAAGAAAAUUGCCAAGUACAUUCAGGAACAGAAUGAGAAGAUCUACGCUCCCCAGGGCCUUCUCCUGACGGAUCCCAUUGAGAGAGGACUCAGAGUUUGCAGAUUGAAAUCACCAUUUAUGAAGACAGAGGUAUGAGCAGUGGAAGAUAAAACCAUGGACCCCAAGCCUGAUGAAGUAUUCACUUCCACUGCUCGGCUACAGCUGCCUUCCACUCCAGAGCCCCCGGCUCAGCAGUGGACUUGCCGCAUCAGAGCGUUCCCCUACCUCCUCUCUAGAGCAUCAUUCCUCUCUGCUGCCAGACCUGUGGUGCCAUCUACUUACCAAGACUAACCUUCUAAACUUCUGGCUGGUCAGCAUCCAUUUUGUGGCCUGUGGCAAGCUUUAAGCAGUGGGAUCAUCUUGUUCGUUUCCAUGGACAAGGAAUGGGCAAAGUAAAGCUGUUGCUCUUCAGCAAGUGAACUGGGCAGUUCAGCCCAGUGGGAAGCAGCUGUUUCCCUCCCCACCAGUUAAAUCUUCCGACACAUCAGGCUGCAAGUCUGACGUCAGGGAGUCUGUGCCAGAAACAAGGCCCGCACUCCAGUGCAGGGCAGAGCAGCCUGCAAUACACUCACUGCACACAGUGCCUCUGCCUAGCAGGAAGUGACUCGAGGCACAGAGCAGUCUCAGGUUCCUGAGCUGAUGCUCACCGGGAAUUUAAUGCAGAAAGGUUUUUCUAAUGAUUUAGUUGUUUUUCCUAACCCCCAAUAGCUGGUAUUGUUACUGGGUGCUUUGCUGGUGCCCUGGGAAUCUACUGCUGUCACUGGAGUUCUCCACGCUCGCGGGAAGAGACAGUCUUGCUCGUUCCCUUCAACUGUGUCAGUACAAUAAAAUGGAUGCUGAACCAAUACAUGUAGCCAUCCCUACUCCUCCCCUGAAGGUUAAUAUGUAAAAUGUAAUGAACUGUUUUGUUUCUCUAUGGAUUUAUUAUAUAUAAUUUAUAGCAAAAUGUUGAUUUGAUGGAUUACUCAAUAGUGUAUAAGUUGGUUUCUUAACUCCUGCUGCUGGCAAACUGCUGAAGAGCAGAGCUGUGCAGUAUGUUGUAUUUCCCAUGAAUUAACAUUCCUCAGCAAUACCUGCUACGCUACCUUGGGCAUCUUCUGAGUAAAACUCCCAGCAAACAAAAUUGGCCUAAUAUUUUCUGUUGUCUCCCUCUCCUGUAUAACACGAGAUCUUUACUUAAGCUGGGUUAAACUAGCACGGCCCCCCUGGUUGGAGAGCCACUGUCCAUUGUGGGACUUGUAGAACAAGACAACUGCUGCAACUAGGUGGAGUGUCGAGUUUUCAGUGAUACUGUAGGUGCUAAUCCUGGAGUGGAGAUUCCAGGCUUCCUGUUCAACCACUUCUUUCUUUCUUUCCCCCUCCUCUUUGAGAUCUGUUUCCUGUUUUAAUUGUACAGAAGACUUUUUCUUUGUCUCUCUGAACUGUAAAAGUGCAUUUGCCUUUUGCACCUGUUGCAAUAAUUUUGCAGAAUUAUUAAUGGAUUAGUAAAAUUUUCUUAUACUG